UACGGAAGGCAGCAGUGGGGAAUAUUGCACAAUGGGCGAAAGCCUGAUGCAGCUAUGCCGCGUGUAUGAAGAAGGCCUUAGGGUUGUAAAGUACUUUCAUCGGGGAGGAAAAAACAAAACUAAUAAUUUUAUUUCUUGACGUUACCCGAAAAAGAAGCACCGGCUAACUCCGUGCCAGCAGCCGCGGUAAUACGGAGGGUGCUAGCGUUAAUCAGAAUUACUGGGCGUAAAGAGCACGUAGGUGGUUUUUUUAAGUCAGAUGUGAAAUCCCUGGGCUUUAACCUAGGAACUGCAUUUUGAAACUGAAAUACUAGAGUAUCGUAGAGGGAGGUAGAAUUCUAGGUGUAGCGGUGAAAUGCGUAGAUAUCUGGAGGAAUACCUGUGGCGAAAGCGGCCUCCUAAACGAAUACUGACACUGAGGGUGCGAAAGCGUGGGGAGCAAACGAGGGAUUAGAUACC
RNAcentral lists this ribosomal RNA (459 nucleotides) under uncultured bacterium. RNAcentral's name for it is "bacterial SSU rRNA". It matches the Rfam family "Bacterial small subunit ribosomal RNA", at positions 340 to 786 of the family's 1533-position model. The record is from RNAcentral.